AUAGGUCCGUACCCGCCCCGCUAUGUCACUAAACGGACUAGACCCGCGGACUUAAGGUCCGAUUGACAUCCCUACCCGCAAAUAUAGUAUUGUUUUUCCGUUUAUCUUCGCUGUAUUAGUUAGUAUAGCUCUUCUAAAAAUAAGAUAUUAUAUAGAAAUAUAUUCAUAAGUUUAUCUACAUUUAACAACUCAUAUUUUUCUCACAUUCUUUUCAAUAUGUAUAUGAAUUUCUGUCUUCACAAUAUUUUAGUGAGAGUUAUCACUCUUCCUAUCUUUUUGCAAGCACUCGUUUUAUUUGUUUCAUUUUUUCUUACAAUGUCUCUUUCCAUCCUCUUAUGAUUUGUCCAAGCAAUAUGUGCCAUACCUUCUAAACUUUUCACAUGCUCCAUAAUUGUUCUUCGAAAAUCUCUUCCUUUUCUUGUUAUUAUGAUUAUUUUUCAAGCUGGUCAAGAUGUGCUCUAUUUUGUUUUCUGUUAUUCAAAGAAAAUGUUUUAGCUUCUAAAUUGAUACUUAACUCUAUUACUUCUCUCUUUUUAUGCAGUUUAGAUCCUCUUCCCCUUCACGCUUCCUAGAGUGAAAGACCUCAAUUUAUAUCUUCGAGAAUUUGAUUCAAAUUGAUACGAUUAAAAACACCACUAUCAAACCACGUCUUUGUUACGUUUCUUUAAGUUAUACUUAAAAAUAUUGCAUUAGUUGUAUAAAAUCCUAUAAAGGUUUGGGUUUAAUAUUACAU
Molecule: small RNA, 733 nt
Filed under: Arabidopsis thaliana (thale cress)
Lineage: Eukaryota; Viridiplantae; Streptophyta; Magnoliopsida; Brassicales; Brassicaceae
Description: ATSL167160
Source: RNAcentral